Non-coding RNA from Rhizodiscina lignyota, 71 nucleotides. The record is from the annotation of a GenBank genome assembly. Lineage: Eukaryota; Fungi; Ascomycota; Dothideomycetes; Aulographales; Rhizodiscinaceae.
GCCUCGUUAGUUUAAUGGUAAAACACUGUGCUGAUAACGCAGAGCUCGGCGUUCGAUUCGCCGACGAGGUA